Molecule: ribosomal RNA, 772 nt
Filed under: uncultured Neocallimastigales
Lineage: Eukaryota; Fungi; Neocallimastigomycota; Neocallimastigomycetes; Neocallimastigales
Description: partial large subunit ribosomal RNA
Rfam family: Eukaryotic large subunit ribosomal RNA
Source: RNAcentral
UACACGCUGUGACUAGCAUAUCAAUAAGCGGAGGAAAAGAAACUAACAAGGAUUCCCCUAGUAACGGCGAGUGAAGCGGGAAGAGCUCAAAUUUGAAAUCUUAAAGGGUUUCCCUUUACGAAUUGUAGUUUAAAGAAGUGUUUUCUGUUGAGGUUUUGGUAAAAGUUCUUUGGAAUAGGACAUCAUAGAGGGUGAGAAUCCCGUAUUUGGUCAUUCCUUCUAGCUUUGUGAUACACUUUCAAAGAGUCGGAUUGUUUGGGAAUGCAGUCCAAAAUGGGUGGUAAAUUUCAUCUAAAGCUAAAUAUUGGCGAGAGACCGAUAGCGAACAAGUACCGUGAGGGAAAGAUGAAAAGAACUUUGAAAAGAGAGUUAAACAGUACGUGAAAUUGUCAAAAGGGAAGCGUUUGACACCAGUGUUGUUUUUCUGAAAAUCAAUUAAAGAACUGUUUAUGCUAAGCUGUUUAGACUUUAUCAGCUAUCUGUUUAGUUUUGAGCUUUUCUUUAAUGCACUUUUCAGUUAACAAGUCAACAUCAAUUUCUUUUGCUGUAAAAAAGCUUGAGGAAGGUGGCUUGAGAUUCGUCUUAAGUGUUUAUAGCCUCUUGCCUAUGCAGUCGGAGAGAUUGAGGUCUGCAGCGUAGAUCCUUCGGGGCUAAAUGCAUUUGUGCUAAGUUAUAGCAUUUUAUAGACAACUUGUUGACUAUGAUUUGUCUGUAGCUUACUCGCUUAUGUUAUUUUACCUACGCUUAGGAUGUUGAUAUGCAUGACUGAUAU